AUAUGCCACAACAAUUUGGUGCAGUCCGGAAAUUUAAUCUUGCAGUUGGUUCCUAUCUUGGGUAUGUACUCUGAUAACUACUUUGUGAAACUGCCUAGAAGGGUCAGUGGAUAUUCUGGUUUGGAUUGGGUGCAGGAGACACUAGCCCGAGAUACCCAAUGCUACAACAUGUUUAGGGUUGAGAGACCUUUGUUUAACAGGCUACAUAAUACUUUGGUGCAAUCAUAUGGGUUGAAGUCCAGUAGAAAAAUGACAUCUGUAGAGGCUCUAGCUAUGUUUUUAUGGAUUGUUGGAUCACCACAGUCAGUUAGACAGGCUGAGAACCGUUUUAGGAGGUCUAUGGAGACAGUAAGUAGGACAUUUAACAGAGUUUUGGCAUGCCUCCUUAGGUUAGCACAGGACAUAAUUGUACCCAAGGACCCAACAUUUGCAGAGGUGCACCCAAACUUAGAAAAUCCAGCAUUCUGGCCACACUUCAAUGACUGCAUAGGAGCUAUAGAUGGGACACAUGUGAAGGUUGUGGUGGAUAAGAGUAAGAGGGUUCAAUACUUGAACAGGCACAAUGAAACCAGUCAGAAUGUGCUUGCUGUUUGUGAUUUCGACAUGAGAUUUACAUUUGUGAUGUCGGGAUGGCCUGAUUCAGCACACGACAUGAGAGUUUUCAAAGAUGCCAUAACUACUCAUCGUCACAAAUUUCCACAUCCACCACCAGGAAAGUAUUAUGUGGUUGAUGCGGGGUACCCAAACCGUCCGGGCUACCUUUCACCAUACAGAUGU
RNAcentral lists this ribosomal RNA (777 nucleotides) under Triticum aestivum (bread wheat). Its description in RNAcentral is "partial small subunit ribosomal RNA". Lineage: Eukaryota; Viridiplantae; Streptophyta; Magnoliopsida; Poales; Poaceae. The record is from RNAcentral.